CCCUAGGAGCUUAUGUAUGUGUGUAUGCAUGUUGUGGAAGUGUUGUGUUUGAAUUGAAUGGUUUGGGAGGUAAAUGUGCAUGAUUGGAGGCUGAGUUCUGCCUUUGGAAGAACUCAGGUUCGGCAGCCGAAAGGACUUUCGGCCGCCGAACCUGCCUGUGGAGGCAAGCCUUUGGCUACCGAACCCUGCCCCCGAAAGUGGACUUUCGGCUUUGGAAGGGAGUUUCGGCCGUCGAAGGUGCCG
This 243-nucleotide long non-coding RNA is filed under the name Manihot esculenta (cassava). Its description in RNAcentral is "long non-coding RNA (MESC_LNC004104)". Lineage: Eukaryota; Viridiplantae; Streptophyta; Magnoliopsida; Malpighiales; Euphorbiaceae. The record is from RNAcentral.